Molecule: ribosomal RNA, 253 nt
Filed under: uncultured bacterium
Lineage: Bacteria
Description: partial 16S ribosomal RNA
Rfam family: Bacterial small subunit ribosomal RNA
Source: RNAcentral
UACGUAGGGUGCAAGCGUUGUCCGGAAUUAUUGGGCGUAAAGAGCUCGUAGGCGGUUUGUCGCGUCUGCUGUGAAAACCCGAGGCUCAACCUCGGGCCUGCAGUGGGUACGGGCAGACUAGAGUGCGGUAGGGGAGAUUGGAAUUCCUGGUGUAGCGGUGGAAUGCGCAGAUAUCAGGAGGAACACCAAUGGCGAAGGCAGAUCUCUGGGCCGUAACUGACGCUGAGAAGCGAAAGCAUGGGGAGCGAACAGG